UACGUAGGUGGCAAGCGUUGUCCGGAUUUAUUGGGUUUAAAGGGUGCGUAGGCGGUCCAAUAAGUCAGUUGUGAAAUACGGCAGCUUAACUGUCGAGGUGCAAUUGAUACUGCAGGACUUGAGUACAGACGAGGUAGGCGGAAUUGACGGUGUAGCGGUGAAAUGCUUAGAUAUCGUCAAGAACACCGAUAGCGAAGGCAGCUUACUAGACUGUAACUGACGCUGAUGCACGAAAGUGUGGGGAUCAAACAGG
Molecule: ribosomal RNA, 253 nt
Filed under: uncultured bacterium
Lineage: Bacteria
Description: partial 16S ribosomal RNA
Rfam family: Bacterial small subunit ribosomal RNA
Source: RNAcentral